UAAGCGGAGGAAAAGAAACUAACAAGGAUUCCCCUAGUAACGGCGAGUGAACCGGGAAGAGCUCAAAUUUGAAAUCUGGCGUCCUCAGGGCGUCCGAGUUGUAAUCUAUAGAGGCGUUUUCCGUGCCGGACCGUGUCCAAGUUCCUUGGAACAGGAUAUCAAAGAGGGUGACAAUCCCGUACUUGACACGACGACCGGUGCUCUGUGAUACGUCUUCUACGAGUCGAGUUGUUUGGGAAUGCAGCUCAAAAUGGGUGGUGAGUUCCAUCUAAAGCUAAAUAUUGGCGAGAGACCGAUAGCGAACAAGUACCGUGAGGGAAAGAUGAAAAGCACUUUGGAAAGAGAGUUAAACAGUACGUGAAAUUGUUGAAAGGGAAACGAUUGAAGUCAGUCGUGACCGAGAGGCUCAGCCGGUUCUGCCGGUGUAUUCCCCUCGGUCGGGUCAACAUCAGUUUUGUCCGGUGGAUAAGGACGGUAGGAAGGUGGCACCCUCGGGUGUGUUAUAGCCUGCCGUCGCAUACAUCGGGUGAGACUGAGGAACGCAGCUCGCCUUUAUGGCCGGGGUUCGCCCACGUCCGAGCUUAGGAUGUUGACAUAAUGGCUUUAAACGACCCGUCUUGAAACACG
This 627-nucleotide ribosomal RNA is filed under the name Papiliotrema laurentii. RNAcentral's name for it is "eukaryotic LSU rRNA". It matches the Rfam family "Eukaryotic large subunit ribosomal RNA", at positions 47 to 663 of the family's 3401-position model. The record is from RNAcentral. Lineage: Eukaryota; Fungi; Basidiomycota; Tremellomycetes; Tremellales; Rhynchogastremaceae.